GGUUCUAGGGUGUGGUGGUUAGCAACAUCUGCCUUACACACAGAAGCUCCUGGGUUCGAGUCCCUGUGGAACCA
This 74-nucleotide transfer RNA is filed under the name Canis lupus familiaris (dog). It matches the Rfam family "tRNA". From Rfam's summary of the family: Transfer RNA (tRNA) molecules are approximately 80 nucleotides in length. Their secondary structure includes four short double-helical elements and three loops (D, anti-codon, and T loops). RNAcentral also lists the same sequence under 1 other name. Lineage: Eukaryota; Metazoa; Chordata; Mammalia; Carnivora; Canidae. The record is from Rfam by way of RNAcentral.